Molecule: ribosomal RNA, 254 nt
Filed under: uncultured bacterium
Lineage: Bacteria
Description: partial 16S ribosomal RNA
Rfam family: Bacterial small subunit ribosomal RNA
Source: RNAcentral
CACGUAGGGUGCGAGCGUUGUCCGGAAUUAUUGGGCGUAAAGAGCUCGUAGGCGGUGUGUCGCGUCGGCCGUGAAAACCUGCAGCUCAACUGUGGGCUUGCGGUCGAUACGGGCAUCACUGGAGUUCGGCAGGGGAGACUGGAAUUCCUGGUGUAGCGGUGAAAUGCGUAGAGAUCAUGAGGAAGACCAGUGGCGAAGGCGGGUCUCUGGACAGUUCCUGACGCUGAGGCACGAAGGCCAGGGGAGCAAACGGG